Molecule: ribosomal RNA, 253 nt
Filed under: uncultured bacterium
Lineage: Bacteria
Description: partial 16S ribosomal RNA
Rfam family: Bacterial small subunit ribosomal RNA
Source: RNAcentral
UACAGAGGUCUCAAGCGUUGUUCGGAUUCAUUGGGCGUAAAGGGUGCGUAGGCGGCGCGGUAAGUCGGGUGUGAAAUCUUGGAGCUUAACUCCGAAACUGCAUUCGAUACUGCCGUGCUUGAGGACUGGAGAGGAGACUGGAAUUUACGGUGUAGCGGUGAAAUGCGUAGAUAUCGUAAGGAAGACCAGUGGCGAAGGCAGCUCGCUGGGACGGUACUGACGCUGAGGCGCGAAAGCGUGGGGAGCAAACAGG